UGAGCAAUGGGGUGACGCAGUAGGAUAGGGUGAGCGCGCUGUUGGUUAUGCGCGUCUAAGCAGUGAGGAGUGGAAUGAGGCAAAUCCCGUUCCUAUAACAUUGAGCUGUGACAGCAAGGGGAGUAUUCCCUGAGUCCCUGAUUUCACGCUGCCAAGAAAAGCCUCUAGCGAGGCGGGAGGUGCCUGUACCGCAAACCGACACAGGUAGGCGAGGAGAGAAUCCUAAGGUGAUCGAGAGAACUCUCGUUAAGGAACUCGGCAAAAUGACCCCGUAACUUCGGGAGAAGGGGUGCUCUGGUAGGGUGUUAAAGCCCGAGAGAGCCGCAGUGAAUAGGCCCAGGCGACUGUUUAGCAAAAACACAGGUCUCUGCAAAACCGCAAGGUGAAGUAUAGGGGCUGACGCCUGCCCGGUGCUGGAAGGUUAAGAGGAGAGGUCAGCGCAAGCGAAGCUUCGAAUUGAAGCCCCAGUAAACGGCGGCCGUAACCAUAACGGUCCUAAGGUAGCGAAAUUCCUUGUCGGGUAAGUUCCGACCCGCACGAAAGGCGUAACGAUCUGGGCACUGUCUCAACGAGAGACUCGGUGAAAUUAUAAUACCUGUGAAGAUGCAGGUUACCCGCGACAGGACGGAAAGACCCCGUGGAGCUUUACUGUAACCUGAUAUUGAAUUCCGGUGCAGCCUGUACAGGAUAGGUAGGAGCCUUGGAUUCCGGAGCGCUAGCUUCGGAUGAGGCGUUGGUGGGAUACUACCCUGGCUGUAUUGGACUUCUAACCCAUGCCCCUUAUCGGGGCAGGAGACAGUGUCAGGCGGGCAGUUUGACUGGGGCGGUCGCCUCCUAAAGAGUAACGGAGGCGCCCAAAGGUUCCCUCAGAAUGGUUGGACAUCAUUCGUAGAGUGCAAAGGCAUAAGGGAGCUUGACUGCGAGACCUACAAGUCGAGCAGGGUCGAAAGACGGGCUUAGUGAUCCGGUGGUUCCGCAUGGAAGGGCCAUCGCUCAACGGAUAAAAGCUACCCCGGGGAUAACAGGCUUAUCUCCCCCAAGAGUCCACAUCGACGGGGAGGUUUGGCACCUCGAUGUCGGCUCAUCGCAUCCUGGGGCUGUAGUCGGUCCCAAGGGUUGGGCUGUUCGCCCAUUAAAGCGGUACGCGAGCUGGGUUCAGAACGUCGUGAGACAGUUCGGUCCCUAUCCGUCGCGGGCGCAGGAAAUUUGAGAGGAGCUGUCCUUAGUACGAGAGGACCGGGAUGGACAUACCUCUGGUGUACCAGUUGUCUUGCCAAAGGCAUCGCUGGGUAGCUAUGUAUGGACGGGAUAAAUGCUGAAAGCAUCUAAGCAUGAAGCCCCCCUCGAGAUGAGAUUUCCCAUUACGCAAGUAAGUAAGAUCCCUCAAAGAAGAUGAGGUUGAUAGGUCUGGGGUGGAAGCACGGCGACGUGUGGAGCUGACGGAUACUAAUCGAUCGAGGACUUAACCG
RNAcentral lists this ribosomal RNA (1469 nucleotides) under metagenome. RNAcentral describes it as "bacterial LSU rRNA". It matches the Rfam family "Bacterial large subunit ribosomal RNA", at positions 1458 to 2925 of the family's 2925-position model. The record is from RNAcentral.